AUGACAAAAGCAAACAGAGGCUCUGGUAGCAGUCUACUGUCAUCAGCCAUCAGUGUGGUCCAGAAGGACAAGGAAGGACACUACUCAUGGGGGAUCAGAGCUGCUCCUGGACGGGCUGAUGGAGUCAUGGGAAAGAAGCAGGCUGUACAGACUUCUCCCCCCCCCCCCAAACCAAUCCACAGUUGUUACCUUCAUUCAAAAGUAAAGUGGAAGUAGAGUAUUGAGUUACUGGAAAAAAGUCUGCAUUGGGCAUUGAGUUGACUGUAGUUCUUUUAAAAAUUUGUAUAUUUAAACAAUUUUGAAUAUUUGAAUAAGAUGAACAUUUCCAAACACAAAACAGUCCAGAAAAGGAAGAUUGCACAUGCAGCCAUGAAUCUGGUAUAGCCUGCAUCUCUCCCAACCACACAACAAAUUCAAUAUGUUAUUUUCAAAUCUGUCUCACUUGCCUAUUUCCUACUGACCUUCCUUCUGUUCUCUUCUGUGUGUUUAAAAAGAAUUGCUCAUCCUUCUUACUUUUUUUCCUUUUUCAUUUUGGUAACAACACUCCUAUUCCCUUUAAUUCCCUCCUCCUCCAAAUGAAGAGAAAGGGGAAAAAAAAAAAGAUCUUUUGUCAAAUAGGUGGAGUUGAGCAAAGUAAAUACUCACGUUGGUCUUGUUAGGAGGUAUUUGUCUCAUUCUGCUCCUUGAGUUCAUCAUCUUAUUAACAUCUGGUAGGUUGCAUGACUGGUCAUUGAAUUAAUUGAUCAGAAAUCUUAAGGCCUGUUUAGUUGUUUUUCUUAAGAUGUUUUUAUGGUGUAAGUUGUUCUCCAGGUUCUGCUCACUUCACAUAAGUUUGUACAAGUCUUUCCAGGUAUAUCAGAAACCAUCCCUUUCAUCUCUUUUAUUCUAUAUUAAUAUUCCUUUACAUUCUUAUACCAUAAUUUGUUCUGCCAUUCUCUAAGAGAUGACUAUCUCUUUAGUUUCCAGUUUGAAAAGUUGCUAUCAAUAUUUUUGUACCUAUGGAUUCUCUUUAUCAUAGACCUAGUAAUGGCAUUGUUGGGACAAAAGGGUAUAUACAGUUUAAUGACUUUUUAAAAUUAUGAAUUUCAAAUUUCUCUGCAGAAUGGCUAGGCCAAUCCAUAGCUUCACCAAUAGAAUAUUAGCAUCCCUAUUUGUCAAUAGCCACUCCUCGAUUGUGAUUUUCCUUUUUUUCUAACUGUUGCCAAUUUCAUGCUUUUGAGGUGGAACUCCAGAGGUGAUUUAUUAAAUUUCUCUAAUCAUUUGCAAGUGCUUUUCCUCUGAGAUGAUCUUCUGAGAUGAAUAACAGAUUUAUUCUAUUCUUAGCUUUUUUUGUAUAUAACUGUUUUCAUGCCACACUCAAUAGACUAUGAGUUCCAUGAGAGAAGAGAUUGUUCUUUAUUUUUUUUUUGCAUCCCUAGAAUUUAGUAGAGUAUUUAAUAAAUUCCUGUUCAUUUGAUUUGGACCA
This 1465-nucleotide long non-coding RNA is filed under the name Monodelphis domestica (gray short-tailed opossum). Its description in RNAcentral is "lncRNA (ENSMODG00000034616.2)". The record is from RNAcentral. Lineage: Eukaryota; Metazoa; Chordata; Mammalia; Didelphimorphia; Didelphidae.